Molecule: long non-coding RNA, 699 nt
Organism: Salvelinus fontinalis (brook trout)
Lineage: Eukaryota; Metazoa; Chordata; Actinopteri; Salmoniformes; Salmonidae
Exons: 2
Source: RefSeq, a predicted model, not a curated record
UGGGAGGCAAGGAACAAGUUCAGCAUUUCCCAGCUUUAUGCAAAUCACCAGUGGCAAACACUGGGCAAUGACCUAUCAUAUCGAGUGGUUCCCAUGACGAAUUUGACGCUAUGCAAGCCAACGCUGGAGACUUUCUUCAGUAAAGAUGGCUGACAAAAGUACUAGCAUGGAAGCAAAUGGUCUCCUGAGAAAACCAGCAAACCAGGCUGUCGUCUUGUGAAACAGUGGAUGCAAAGAAUCUAGCUAGUUAAAGCAUUUACUGCUAAUUGAAUAUACAAUUUUGUAAGCUUGCCUUGCUAAUAUUUGCCAUGCAAUGCAGCUGAAGUAAUGUAGCUAGCUAACUUUUUUCUUGCUUAUUGUGUAGUGGAGUAUAAAAAUACCUGUAUACUUAUGGAUGUGUAGCUAUCUACUUAGCCAAUCUGUGUAUGGACCUUAAAACGUUUGGUAUAAAUAUUAGCUCAGAACCUAGCUUCGAACCUCAGCUAUCAUAGACAGUUUUAUCGACUUCAAAACAGUCUGACUGGCAUCAAUAAAGCCUAUGAAUUGAGUAUUAUAUAACUUUAUUGUGCCAAGGAUGCAAGUCGUACAUACAUGUAGUUAUUACCAAGCACGAGUUCCCCCACAUUGUAGCCUGUCAUUGAAUAUAUUCACUGAUCAUGUACUGUGCCUUGGCAAAUAAAGGUGCAGUUCAAUAAUGAA